Laticauda laticaudata (blue-ringed sea krait) is the source of this 2077-nucleotide long non-coding RNA. The record is from Ensembl. NCBI's taxonomy places the organism in Eukaryota, Metazoa, Chordata, Lepidosauria, Squamata, Elapidae.
CUCAGGGUUGAAGUGUGGUGCCCUCUGAGUUUGAAAGAAUGGCUCAUGUUGGUUCAGCGGCCCCAACCUUUUGGGCAUCAGGAUCCAGUUCCAUGGAAGCAGGUUUUUCCGUGGACUGGAGGGUGUGUGGUUUUCCAUGUUGCCUGCAUUCCACUGAUGGGGCUUCACUUGUUUGCGUGGAUUGGUUGCUGGCAUGCCACGGUCUGGUGCUGGUCAACGGCCCAGGAUUUGGGGGACUCCUGAUCUAAGUAACAUCAAUAUGACUUCCUUUUUAUUUUCUCUUUCAGCAUCUGCAUGGAAUUACUCUAUCCUGGUCUUUUCAGUUCUCGUUCUGCUCAUUGGUAUUGUGCUCCUGGGAGCAAAUGUUAGGGCCAACAGAAACCAGAAGGCCUUUCUCUUACGCAAAGAAGACUAUGAAGUCACCCCGCUAGAUGAGGCAGAAGCGAAGCAAGCGUUUGUGUUGCUAAACAAAGAGAAUCCGGAUCAAGCUGGAGACAAUUUGCUUUCCAAAACACUGACCAUGGGAGACGUGAUGGUAUGCUGGAAGAAUGGGAAAGCCUCACUCCUGUAUACUGAUGCCAGCGAAGCAGAAGCAUAGCACCUAAUGUCUAUAUUUUGGCUCUUUGGGAAACCUGGGAGGAUUUCUGGACUAUUGACAUUUUUGGAAUGCAGAUUUGAAAGCCAAAUUCAUUAAGUGGAAUCAAAAAGCCAGCAAGAAGGAAACACAUAGUGACUGCUUUUGAGUUUUACAAAAUCAAUAAUCCACCAAACAAUUCAUCUACCAGAUAUCUUUACAUGAUACGUUGAACUAGGUUGGCCUAGUGGCUUCCUUCACACAACAGGUUAAGCUUGGUCAGUUGGUUCAGGUGGUUCCUAUCAGUGUUAACCUUGAUCAAUUUUAUUUUGUGCCCUAAUGUAGUGUCACCAGAGCAUUCACAGGGUCAAACAAAGUUCUGGCAGGCCCCUCAAAGCAGCCAGAACUUCAAUUGCACAGUUGGGUUACCAUCUUGACUUGACCAUCUGUGAGGAGACCUCUGAUGUCAACCUAUCUCAAUGGGUUGAGUAGUGGGUGAACCCAGAAAAAGAGGCAAUUCAAGAACCAAUUAAGGAUGUUGUGUGAAGGUUGUUGCUUUGCUAUUUUGCACCAACCUACAAAAAAAAAAAUCUGUCAGAUUAUCCGGAAAGAUGUUUCAGGUCUCCUGAUUUUGAUUUUAUCACUGACCAUUGGUGAUUGCAUAUUAAAAAAAAAAGGUGGAAUUUGAUCAUUUGAUCAUCUGGAUCUUUCUGGAUCAUUUCUGUGGUGGUUCUGUUAUGCCAAUAUUAGCUGCCUUAUAGAAGGUAAUAAUUUGAGACAGUUGGGAGCAGAAGUGGGAUUCAAAUUUUUUAACAACUGGUUCUGUGGGUGUGGCUAGGUGGGCAUGGCAAGAUGGGCAUGGCCAUGUGACUAGGUAGGAGUGGCUUUUUUCCCAACAACUCCACCCCCUGGGUUUUUUGCCUCCUGGGCUUCAGGGAAGUCUCCUGGGCAAAGCAGUAAGACAGUGAGGGGGAUCCCGGCAUAGCUGAUCAUCAGAACAGCUGAUCAUCGGGGGGGAAGAGAAAUACCUUAAGGAGUGACNAGCUGAUCAUCAGAACAGCUGAUCAUUGGAGGGGAAGAGAAAUACCUUAAGGAGUGACUGGGUGGGGGAGAACGCAGUCAGUGAUGUUGGGCAUGUGUGUGAUGUCACACAUGUGCAAUAAAGACUGACUGGGAGGGGUGGGGCAGGUGGAAAGGGGCGUGGCCAGCCAGGGGUUCUCCAAACUGCACGGAAUCAUAACAACUGGUUCUAUAGAACCGGUCUGAACCGGUAGAAUCCCACCCCUGGUUGGGAGCCUCCAAAAUUGGAAACAAAGAAAAGGGAUGGGCAAAGGCUAGGCUAUGAUAAGGGCUUUGGAUGAUAUUCAAGCAGCACUGUGACUUCCAAGGAAACCAGGUUAAUAUUUCCACCAUCAGUCUAGUAAGCCAAGGUCCAUUAAAAGGCUUUUAAAGGCUGCUACAUCUCUAGAUCUAUCUUUGUGUAAUAUCAUGCCAAUCUUUCUG